Molecule: long non-coding RNA, 200 nt
Filed under: Vigna radiata
Lineage: Eukaryota; Viridiplantae; Streptophyta; Magnoliopsida; Fabales; Fabaceae
Description: long non-coding RNA (VRAD_LNC010695)
Source: RNAcentral
UGGUUCCAUUCCUUGUCUAUUCCGGUUUUAAGAUGAAGUAUGUUAUAAAACUUUAAAGUCUAUCUUUUUAACCAAGUUGGUCGUUCUUUUUAUUGCUUAUUUAUUUAUUUAUUUAUUUUUGCCAUGUAUUUGUGUAAUUAAGAGGUUGUACGUGUCAUUUUAAAACUUUAAAUGAAUUGUUGUUCAAUUAAAAUGAUAAG